RNAcentral lists this unclassified non-coding RNA (367 nucleotides) under soil metagenome. RNAcentral describes it as "partial contains 5.8S ribosomal RNA, internal transcribed spacer 2, and large subunit ribosomal RNA". The stretch from base 1 to 120 matches the Rfam family "5.8S ribosomal RNA", at positions 35 to 154 of the family's 154-position model. The record is from RNAcentral.
GAUGAAGAACGUAGCGAAAUGCGAUAAGUAAUGUGAAUUGCAGAAUUCAGUGAACCAUCGAAUCUUUGAACGCACAUUGCGCCCGGCAGUAAUCUGCCGGGCAUGCCUGUCCGAGCGUCAUUUCUGCCCUCGAGCCUGUCCAGCAUCUAGGUGCUGUUCCGGCCCGGCGUUGGGGCACUACGGGAAGCCUCGUGCUAUCCCCCGUAGGCCCCGAAAUGAAGUGGCGGUCCUGCCGCGGCUCCCCCUGCGUAGUAUUACAGCUCGCUUCGGGACCCGGUGGAGGCCUGCCGUCAAACCUUACUCUCUAAGUUUGACCUCGGAUCAGGUAGGGUUACCCGCUGAACUUAAGCAUAUCAAUAAGCGGGGA